UAUCUAAACGGGGAAAUUCAAUACCGAACUUAACACUCGGUGUGCACUUUUCCCUUAGUAGGACGCCGUGAUCCAUUAGAAAUUGGUAGACGCCAGUCUAUAGUUGGUCAUCAAUGGGUCCGUACGAAGUUUAUUGGAACAAAUGGCGCGAUCUUUCAACGGUUGUGUGUAUUGUCUGGUAAGCGUGCGGGUGCUCGUGUCAUGACUGUCUGAUGGAUUUUAAAGACCAUAUCACUGAUGUUUCGGCAUCACUCGCCUCGCGGCCAGUAACUAGCGAUAUGUGUCCGAUCAACGGUGGUCAAAUUUGGGAUACCUUUUGGACCCGUCUUGAAACACGGACCAAGGAGUCUAUCUAAUGUGCGAGUAAGUGGGUAUAUGUAAACCUAUUUGCGUAAUAAACGUAACUAUUUAAUGGGAUUACAAGACACAAGUCUUCUCCAUCCCGGAGUACUUUUAUCAACAUAUGCGCAAGCAUAUGGAAAGUAUAUCAUGAGCAUAUUGGAUACGACCCGAAAGAUGGUGAACUAUGCCUGAUCAGGUCGAAGUCAGGGGAAACCCUGAUGGAGGACCGAAGCAGUUCUGACGUGCAAAUCGAUUGUCAGAAUUGGGCAUAGGGGCGAAAGACCAAUCGAACCAUCUAG
This 641-nucleotide ribosomal RNA is filed under the name Rheotanytarsus kyotoensis. Its description in RNAcentral is "partial 28S ribosomal RNA". It matches the Rfam family "Eukaryotic large subunit ribosomal RNA", at positions 435 to 947 of the family's 3401-position model. Lineage: Eukaryota; Metazoa; Arthropoda; Insecta; Diptera; Chironomidae. The record is from RNAcentral.